Molecule: ribosomal RNA, 1614 nt
Filed under: Caulerpa taxifolia
Lineage: Eukaryota; Viridiplantae; Chlorophyta; Ulvophyceae; Bryopsidales; Caulerpaceae
Description: bacterial LSU rRNA
Rfam family: Bacterial large subunit ribosomal RNA
Source: RNAcentral
UUAUGGACCCGAACCCGAGUGAUCUAACCAUGACCAGGAAGAAUCUUGGGUAAAACUAAGUGGAUGUCCGAACCGACCGAUGUUGAAAAAUCGACGGAUGAGUUGUGGUUAGAGGUGAAAUGCUAAUCGAACUCGGAGCUAGCUGGUUCUCCCCGAAAUGCGUUGUGGCGCAGCAUUUAUAGAUGUCCUGAAACCUGAAUAGGUAGAGCACUGUUUCGAUGCGGGCCAGUCAAAAGGUACCAAAUUGUGGCAAACUCCAAAUUAUUCGGAUUUAUACCUAUAAAAAGUGAGACUUUGGGGGAUAAGCUCCAGGGUCAAGAGGGAAACAGCCCAGACCAUCAGUUAAGGCCCCUAAAUAAUAGCUAAGUGUUAAAGGAAGUUUCCAUGCUGAAACAACCAGAAGGUUCGCUUAGAAGCAGCUAUCCUUGAAAGAAUGCGUAAUAGCUCACUGGUUAUUUCUUUUUAGGAAAAAAGCGUGGAUGCGCCGAAAAUGUCCGGGACUAAGUUAUUUGCCGAAACUGUGGGCUACGCGGUAGGGGAGCGUUCUGUUAUGAGGUGAAGGAUUUUUGAAAAAAAAUGAUAGAUCGAACAGAAGUGAGAAUGUCGGCUUGAGUAACGAAAACAUUAGUGAGAAUCUAAUGCCCCGAAAGCCUAAGGUUUCCUCUUCAAGGCUCGUCCAGAGAGGGUUAGUCAGGGCCUAAGAUUAGGCUGAAAAGCGUCAUCGAUGGAUAACAGGUCAAUAUUCCUGUACUUAUUUUUAUUUUGAGACAAGGGACGAAGGCAACAAGUUUAAACUCUUAAAAUGGUUCAGAGUGGAAAUGUUCAACAUAUGGUUUGAAAAAAAAAAAUUAAACUUGACGGCCGCGAAGCGGACCGGUCAGUAUGAAGACAUGAUACGUUAUUUGAUAAAUUUAUUUAUUAAAUAAUUUGAAUUUUGUUAUACUUCCUAGAAAAGCUUGAGACUCUUAAUAAUAAAAAUAACCUGUACCGUAAACCGACACAGGUGGGUAAGUUGAGUAAACUCAGGGGCGCGAGAUAACUCUCUCUAAGGAACUCGGCAAAAUAGCCCCGUAACUUCGGGAGAAGGGGUGUAUUUUUCUUUCCCUGAAAGAAAAAUUCCGCAGUGAACAAAUUCAUUGAACUUUUUAACAAAAAAAUAGGUCUCCGCAAAGUCGUAAGACAACGUAUGGGGGCUGACGCCUGCCCAGUGCCGGAAGGUUAAAGGAAUUGGUGAAAGCUGAUAACUGAAGCCCCGGUGAACGGCGGCCUUAACUCUGAAGGUCCUAAGGUAGCGAAAUUCCUUGUCGAGUAAGUUUCGACCCGCACGAAAGGCGCAAUCAAAUGAAUACUGUCUCAGAGAGAGACUCGGUGAAAUAGACAUAUCCGUGAAGAUGCGGAUUUCCUUACAUCAGUACAAGAAGACCCCGUGAAGCUUGACUGUAUCUUGAUAUUGGUUUCCAGUUAUUUUUGUGCAGUCUAGGUGGGAGAAUGAAAUUUCAUCAUUGAGAGACCACCCUGAAAUAACUAGAAAUCUUAAAGUGAUUCCUUGAAGCAGGACACUUGACAGUGUCUGGAGGGCAGUUUUUUUGGGGCGAAAACCUCCUAAAAGGUAAC